AACGAACGCUGGCGGCGUGGAUAAGACAUGCAAGUCGAACGGGACUGUCGCAAGGCAGUUCAGUGGCGCAAGGGUGAGUACAACGUGGAUAAUCUGCCGUGAAGUUGGGAAUAACGCGCUGAAAGGUGCGCUAAUACCCGAUGUGUUCAACUGGCGGCAUCGCUGGUUGAGUAAAGCUGGGGACAGCAAUGCCUGGCGCUUCAUGAUGAGUCCACGACCUAUCAGCUAGUUGGAGGGAUUACAGCCCCCCAAGGCUUUGACGGGUAGCUGGUCUGAGAGGACGAUCAGCCACACUGGAAUUGAGAAACGGUCCAGACACCUACGGGUGGCAGCAGUCGAGAAUUUUUCACAAUGGGCGCAAGCCUGAUGGAGCGACGCCGCGUGGGGGAUGAAGGGCUUCGGCUCGUAAACCCCUGUCAUUCGCGAAACAAUAACCCCGUUUGAACAGGGCGGGAGUUGAUAGUAGUGGAAGAGGAAGAGGCGGCUAACUCUGUGCCAGCAGCCGCGGUAAUACAGAGGCCUCGAGCGUUGUUCGGAUUCACUGGGCGUAAAGCGUGCGUAGGUGGCGGGAAAAGUUUGAGGUGAAAUCUCCGGGCUUAACCCGGAAACGGCCCCAAAUACUGUCUCGCUAGAGUGCUUAAGAGGAGAUUGGAAUUCUCGGUGUAGCAGUGAAAUGCGUAGAUAUCGAGAGGAACACCAGUGGCGAAAGCGAAUCUCUGGGAAGACACUGACACUGAGGCACGAAAGCCAGGGGAGCAAACGGGAUUAGAUACCCCGGUAGUCCUGGCCUUAAACUUUGCAUACUUGCUAUGAGACCUUUAAAGACUCGUGGCGAAGUUAACACGUUAAGUAUGCCGCCUGGGAAGUACGGUCGCAAGAUUAAAACUCAAAGAAAUUGACGGGGGCCUGCACAAGCGGUGGAGUAUGUGGCUUAAUUCGAUGCAACGCGAAGAACCUUACCUGGCCUUGAAAUGCAGAUGGUAGUCCGGUGAAAGCCUGGCGACCCCGCAAGGGGAGUUUGCACAGGUGCUGCAUGGCUGUCGUCAGCUCGUGUCGUGAGAUGUUGGGUUAAGUCCCGCAACGAGCGCAACCCUUGUAUUUUGUUGCUAACCGAAUUAAUAUUUGGUGCACUCGAAAUAUACUGCCGCGCACCAACGCGGAGGAAGGUGGGGAUGACGUCAAGUCAGUAUGGCCCUUACGGCCAGGGCUGCACACGUACUACAAUGCCCGAUACAAUGGGCUGCGACCCGGCAACGGGAAGCCAAUCCUCAAAAUCGGGCCCAGUUCAGAUUGUCGUCUGCAACUCGACGGCAUGAAGCUGGAAUCGCUAGUAAUGGCGCAUCAGCUACGGCGCCGUGAAUACGUUCCCAGGCCUUGUACACACCGCCCGUCACAUCAUGAAAGCCGCUUGCACCCGAAGACGUCAGACCAACCGCAAGGAGGAUGACGUUUAAGGUGUGGGUGGUGAUUGGGAUG
This 1476-nucleotide ribosomal RNA is filed under the name uncultured bacterium. Its description in RNAcentral is "bacterial SSU rRNA". It matches the Rfam family "Bacterial small subunit ribosomal RNA". The record is from RNAcentral.